RNAcentral lists this ribosomal RNA (524 nucleotides) under uncultured bacterium. RNAcentral describes it as "bacterial SSU rRNA". It matches the Rfam family "Bacterial small subunit ribosomal RNA", at positions 29 to 526 of the family's 1533-position model. The record is from RNAcentral.
AACGAACGCUGGCGGCGUGGAUAAGACAUGCAAGUCGAACGAGAGUCUUUUGGUACUUGUAUUGAAAGACUCUAGUGGCGAACGGGUGCGUAACACGUGGACAACAUUCCGGGAAGCGGGGGAUAGCCCAGGGAAACUUGGAUUAAUACCGCAUGUGGUUCAGCUUGGCAUCAAGCAAGAACUAAAGGUGGGGACCGCAAGGCCUGCCACUUCCCGAUUGGUCCGCGGCCUAUCAGCUUGUUGGUGAGGUAAUGGCUCACCAAGGCAACGACGGGUAGCUGGUCUGAGAGGACGAUCAGCCACACUGGAACUGAGACACGGUCCAGACACCUACGGGUGGCAGCAGUCGAGAAUCAUUCACAAUGGGGGAAACCCUGAUGGUGCAACGCCGCGUGGAGGAUAAGGUCUUCGGAUUGUAAACUCCUGUCAUGUGAGAGUAAGGUCCGUUUGUUAACACCAGACGUACUUGAUAGUAUCACAAGAGGAAGAGACGGCUAACUCUGUGCCAGCCGCCGCCGUAACAC